GAUGAACGCUGGCGGCGUGCCUAAUACAUGCAAGUAGAACGCUGAAGGAGGAGCUUGCUCUUUCCGGAUGGGUUGCGAACGGGGGAGUAACGCGUAGGUAACCUGCCUGGUAGCGGGGGAUAACUAUUGGAAACGCUAGUUAAUACUGCAUCACAGUAGAGAUUGCAUGAUAUUUGCUUGAAAGGGGCAAUUGCUCCACUACCAGAUGGACUUGCGUUGUAUUAGCUAGUUGGGGAGGUAACGGCUCACCAAGGCGACGAUACAUAGCCGACCUGAGAGGGUGAUCGGCCCCCCUGGGACUGAGACACGGCCCAGACUCCUACGGGAAGCAGCAGGAGGGGAUCUUCGGCCAUGGACGGAAGGCUGACCGAGCAACGCCGCGUGAGGGAAGAAGGGUUUCGGAUCGUAAAGCUCUGUUGUGAGAGAAGAACGAGUGUGAGAGUGGAAAGUUCACACUGUGACGGUAUCUUAACAGAAAGGGACGGCUAACUACGUG
RNAcentral lists this ribosomal RNA (496 nucleotides) under uncultured bacterium. Its description in RNAcentral is "partial 16S ribosomal RNA". It matches the Rfam family "Bacterial small subunit ribosomal RNA", at positions 28 to 507 of the family's 1533-position model. The record is from RNAcentral.